This 253-nucleotide ribosomal RNA is filed under the name uncultured bacterium. RNAcentral describes it as "partial 16S ribosomal RNA". It matches the Rfam family "Bacterial small subunit ribosomal RNA", at positions 524 to 776 of the family's 1533-position model. The record is from RNAcentral.
UACGUAGGGGGCAAGCGUUGUCCGGAUUUAUUGGGCGGAAAGAGCGUGUAGGCGGCUAUGCAGGUCCGUUGUGAAAACUCGAGGCUCAACCUCGAGACGCCGAUGGAAACCGCAUGGCUAGAGUCCGGAAGAGGAGAGUGGAAUUCCUGGUGUAGCGGUGAAAUGCGCAGAUAUCAGGAAGAACACCCGUGGCUAAGGCGGCUCUCUAGUACGGUACUGACGCUGAGACGCGAAAGCGUGGGGAGCGAACAGG